UACGAAGGGGGCUAGCGUUGUUCGGAUUUACUGGGCGUAAAGCGCACGUAGGCGGAUCGUUAAGUCGGGGUGAAAUCCUGGAGCUCAACUCCAGAACUGCCUUCGAUACUGGCGAUCUUGAGUCCGGAAGAGGUGAGUGGAACUCCUAGUGUAAGAGGUGGAAUUCGUAGAUAUUAGGAAGAAACACCAGUGGCGAAAGGCGGCUCAC
RNAcentral lists this ribosomal RNA (208 nucleotides) under uncultured bacterium. RNAcentral describes it as "partial 16S ribosomal RNA". It matches the Rfam family "Bacterial small subunit ribosomal RNA", at positions 524 to 729 of the family's 1533-position model. The record is from RNAcentral.